AUUCUUAUGUAGUUCGUAGAGUGAUGAUUGGGUGGGUGUGCAUGCUCUUGUGUGGGAUGUGCCUCCCUCAGACCUUGUGAUGGCAUCAGCAUGUUACCUCUCUGGCG
Molecule: small nucleolar RNA, 107 nt
Organism: Artibeus jamaicensis (Jamaican fruit-eating bat)
Lineage: Eukaryota; Metazoa; Chordata; Mammalia; Chiroptera; Phyllostomidae
Product: small nucleolar RNA U13
Exons: 1
Source: RefSeq, a predicted model, not a curated record